This 429-nucleotide ribosomal RNA is filed under the name uncultured prokaryote. Its description in RNAcentral is "bacterial SSU rRNA". It matches the Rfam family "Bacterial small subunit ribosomal RNA", at positions 355 to 776 of the family's 1533-position model. RNAcentral also lists the same sequence under 1 other name. The record is from RNAcentral.
UAGGGAAUCUUCCGCAAUGGACGAAAGUCUGACGGAGCAACGCCGCGUGAGUGAAGAAGGUCUUCGGAUCGUAAAGCUCUGUUGUUAGGGAAGAACAAGUAUCGGAGGAAAUGCCGGUACCUUGACGGUACCUGACGAGAAAGCCACGGCUAACUACGUGCCAGCAGCCGCGGUAAUACGUAGGUGGCAAGCGUUGUCCGGAUUUAUUGGGCGUAAAGCGCGCGCAGGCGGUCCUUUAAGUCUGAUGUGAAAUCUUGCGGCUCAACCGCAAGCGGUCAUUGGAAACUGGGGGACUUGAGUGCAGAAGAGGAAAGCGGAAUUCCACGUGUAGCGGUGAAAUGCGUAGAGAUGUGGAGGAACACCAGUGGCGAAGGCGGCUUUCUGGUCUGUAACUGACGCUGAGGCGCGAAAGCGUGGGGAGCAAACAGG